AUACGGAGGAUCCGAGCGUUAUCCGGAUUUAUUGGGUUUAAAGGGUGCGCAGGCGGGAGAUUAAGUCGGCGGUGAAAUUUUGCAGCUCAACUGUAAAAGUGCCUUCGAAACUGGUUUCCUUGAGUGUAGAUGAAGUAGGCGGAAUUUGUGGGGUAGCGGUGAAAUGCAUAGAUAUCACGGGGAACUCCGAUUGCGCAGGCAGCUUACUAAACUACUACUGACGCUCAGGCACGAAGGCGUGGGGAUCAAACAGGAUUAGAUACCCUGGUAGUCCACGCAGUAAACGAUGAUUACUAGCUGUUUGCGAUACAAUGUAAGCGGCUGAGCGAAAGCGUUAAGUAAUCCACCUGGGGAGUACGUUCGCAAGAAUGAAACUCAAAGGAAUUGACGGGG
Molecule: ribosomal RNA, 393 nt
Filed under: uncultured bacterium
Lineage: Bacteria
Description: partial 16S ribosomal RNA
Rfam family: Bacterial small subunit ribosomal RNA
Source: RNAcentral